AACGAACGCUGGCGGCAUGCCUAACACAUGCAAGUCGAACGAGACCUUCGGGUCUAGUGGCGCACGGGUGCGUAACGCGUGGGAACCUGCCCUUAGGUUCGGAAUAACUCCCCGAAAGGGGUGCUAAUACCGGAUAAUGUCUUCGGACCAAAGAUUUAUCGCCUUUGGAUGGGCCCGCGUUGGAUUAGCUAGUUGGUAGGGUAAAAGCCUACCAAGGCGACGAUCCAUAGCUGGUCUGAGAGGAUGAUCAGCCACACUGGGACUGAGACACGGCCCAGACUCCUACGGGAGGAAGCAGUGGGGAAUAUUGGACAAGGGGGGAAAGCCUGAUCCAGCAAUGCCGGGUGAGUGAUGAAGGCCUUAGGGUUGUAAAGCUCUUUUACCCGGGAUGAUAAUGACAGUACCGGGAGAAUAAGCUCCGGCUAACUCCGUG
Molecule: ribosomal RNA, 433 nt
Filed under: uncultured bacterium
Lineage: Bacteria
Description: partial 16S ribosomal RNA
Rfam family: Bacterial small subunit ribosomal RNA
Source: RNAcentral